GCUGACCAGUCCCAAAUAAGACGAAACGCGCGUCC
RNAcentral lists this non-coding RNA (35 nucleotides) under Schistosoma mansoni. The record is from RNAcentral. Lineage: Eukaryota; Metazoa; Platyhelminthes; Trematoda; Strigeidida; Schistosomatidae.